AUCCAGCUGACCAGUCCUAUAUGGAACGAAACGCAUGUCCUGGAU
Molecule: non-coding RNA, 45 nt
Organism: Schistosoma haematobium
Lineage: Eukaryota; Metazoa; Platyhelminthes; Trematoda; Strigeidida; Schistosomatidae
Source: Rfam